Molecule: long non-coding RNA, 523 nt
Filed under: Lathyrus oleraceus (garden pea)
Lineage: Eukaryota; Viridiplantae; Streptophyta; Magnoliopsida; Fabales; Fabaceae
Description: Pisum sativum (pea) long non-coding RNA (PSAT_LNC038793)
Source: RNAcentral
GAUAAAGGCAAUUUUGUUUUCUUUUGUUUUUUUAGCCAGUUAGCCAAAAAGCCAACCCUAAAAUAAUUGCAUCCCUUGUUUGAAACCCCCUUGAGCCUAUUAUCCUUUUUUUAUUUAAAACUCAUUACAAGCCGAGAAGUGAAAAACAAUGUUAUCACCCUACUCAAAGGGUUGAAAGAGUCUUGUUUGGAGUUGUGUGGGGUUGAAUAAUUAUGUUUGUGAUAUUUCAGAAGUUGGCAGAAAAAGAAGAAAAAAAAUAGAAAAAAAAGGAAUGAAAAAAUAGAAGGAUAAGAGGAAGAAAAAAUAGAAGAAUAAGAGGAAGAAAAAAAAAGGAAUUAUGUUUGUAAGAUUUCAAUACAUGUCAAUACAUACUCCUUCAAAAAAAAAAAGAGGAAGGAGAAUAAAAAACAAUUACUAUAGAGUUGUUCAAGUGAAUGAAAUAUUUUGUAAAUUCAACUCCCGCAGUUUCUUUCAAGUCUCUUUUAUCUCUUUGAAUUUUAGCCUAGUAACCCUUAGGAUUUAU